This 407-nucleotide ribosomal RNA is filed under the name uncultured bacterium. RNAcentral's name for it is "partial 16S ribosomal RNA". It matches the Rfam family "Bacterial small subunit ribosomal RNA", at positions 30 to 526 of the family's 1533-position model. The record is from RNAcentral.
AUUGAACGCUGGCGGCAGGCCUAACACAUGCAAGUCGAGCGGAGCGGCGGACGGGUGAGUAAUGAAUAGGAAUCUGCCUGGUAGUGGGGGAUAACGUCCGGAAACGGGCGCUAAUACCGCAUACUAUCAGAUGAGCCUAGGUCGGAUUAGCUAGUUGGUGGGGUAAAGGCCUACCAAGGCGACGAUCCGUAACUGGUUUGAGAGGACGAUCAGGCACACUGGAACGUAGACACGGGCCAGAAUCCGACGGGAGGCAGGAGUGGGGAAUAUUGGACAAUGGGGGAAACCCUGAUCCAGCCAUGCCGCGUGGGUGAAGAAGGUCUUCGGAUUGGAAAGCAAUUUUAGUUGGGAGGCGUUACCAACAGAAUAAGCACCGGCUAACUUCGUGCCAGCAGCCGCGGUAAUAC